CAAGGAAGAGAAAGAGAGAUAAUCCCUAUCAAAGCUUCUGGGAUUAUUUGGGACUAUACCUAAAAGGAAAGUGACAUCUUUGUAAUGGGAUUUCCCAAGUCAUGGAUAGAAAUCCACUUAAGUAGCUAGGUGGGAGCUGUCUUUGUGAGUGGUGUCUUUGAGAUACUGAUGGCCCUAAUAUCGGUUAUCUCUAUCUGAAGACCUGCAGUUUAGCUUUUCUUCACCUCUACUUAAUUGGGCAGUCUUUAACCCCUUUCCCUGGUGAACUCUGGCUUUUUAUCCUCUGAGAAAACAGCCCACAGGACUGGGUCCUCCUUAUCCGUCUUGCUUUUAACCUAUGUAAAUUUCUGUGGUUGCUAUCUUAUGUAAAAUAUAGUAAAAAUUUAUUGUAUAUAGUUUCUAUUAAAUGUUAAAGAAAAUG
RNAcentral lists this long non-coding RNA (421 nucleotides) under Homo sapiens (human). RNAcentral's name for it is "non-protein coding lnc-CCNT1-3:2". The record is from RNAcentral. Lineage: Eukaryota; Metazoa; Chordata; Mammalia; Primates; Hominidae.